RNAcentral lists this long non-coding RNA (246 nucleotides) under Brassica napus (rape). RNAcentral's name for it is "long non-coding RNA (BNAP_LNC011271)". The record is from RNAcentral. Lineage: Eukaryota; Viridiplantae; Streptophyta; Magnoliopsida; Brassicales; Brassicaceae.
AAGGUCAAAAGUCACAAAAAUAGUACUUAAUGUUUUAUCAAAAGUCACAAACUUAGGGUUUAGAGUGAAAAGGUGGGGUUUAGGAUUUAGGGUUUAGGGUUUAGAGUUUAGGGUUUAGGGUUUAGAUUUUAAGGUUUAGGGUUUAGGGUUAGAGUUUAGGGUUUAGAGUUUAGGGUUUAGGGUUUAUGGUUUAGGGUUUAGAGUUUAGGGUUUAGGGUUUAGAGUUGAGAAAUGAGGUUUUGGGGA